GGGAGUCCAUGACUUGCCUGUUUUAGAAGCCGUGAUGCACUGGUCUCCCCCUGCGGGAGUUGGGAACGUGAAGGUUCCACGAGUCACAGUUUUCAGAUACGGCUGAAAUUGAUAACCCAAGCCAGCAGCUCAGUGACCAGGACCUGAGGUUUGCAGCACAAACGACAAGAGAUUCAAGUAGAAAAGCAGAUAAGAAGCCUGUGCGAUUAAGCUGGCUGGAGUACGGUGGCAUGAUCUGGGCUCACUGCAACCUUCACCUCCCGGGUUC
Molecule: long non-coding RNA, 268 nt
Organism: Rhinopithecus roxellana (golden snub-nosed monkey)
Lineage: Eukaryota; Metazoa; Chordata; Mammalia; Primates; Cercopithecidae
Exons: 3
Source: RefSeq, a predicted model, not a curated record